Molecule: transfer RNA, 74 nt
Filed under: Candidatus Zhuqueibacterota bacterium
Lineage: Bacteria; Pseudomonadati
Description: candidate division KSB1 bacterium (freshwater sediment metagenome) tRNA-His
Rfam family: tRNA
About the family: Transfer RNA (tRNA) molecules are approximately 80 nucleotides in length. Their secondary structure includes four short double-helical elements and three loops (D, anti-codon, and T loops). Further hydrogen bonds mediate the characteristic L-shaped molecular structure. tRNAs have two regions of fundamental functional importance: the anti-codon, which is responsible for specific mRNA codon recognition, and the 3' end, to which the tRNAs corresponding amino acid is attached (by aminoacyl-tRNA synthetases). tRNAs cope with the degeneracy of the genetic code in two manners: having more than one tRNA (with a specific anti-codon) for a particular amino acid; and 'wobble' base-pairing, i.e. permitting non-standard base-pairing at the 3rd anti-codon position.
Source: RNAcentral
GUACACGUAGCUCAGCUGGUUAGAGCUCUGGAUUGUGGUUCCAGCGGCCGGGGGUUCGAAUCCCCUCGUGUACC